Long non-coding RNA from Carassius auratus (goldfish), 2034 nucleotides. NCBI's taxonomy places the organism in Eukaryota, Metazoa, Chordata, Actinopteri, Cypriniformes, Cyprinidae. The record is from Ensembl.
AUGCAGAGAGAUCAGGCUGAUGUGAUGAACAUUGUGGCCACUAUCCAAAAUAUGGUUAACCCUUUUGACCCAUUGCUGGAUGGAGAUUCUCUUUGUCACAUCUCUUCUGGCCAACAGGCAUCAGAAAAUGUUGCCACAGACUUACUAGGGGCUAAACAAAGAGGUGUUAAGGCACUCACUGAAUUCUGUGAAAAAAGGAUAGUCCAUGGCCAAGCAUCAUUUCAUGACCCUAUAAAGAAAAUGAAAAUAAAAACAUUUAAAGACAAUGGACAAAGCACAGUCACAAAAAUUAGAGGAAAAGAAAUUACCCUGACAUCACAUCGCAACUUGUUUGCAAGGCUAAUUGUUGUGGGCGGGGUUAGGCAAAUUAACAUCAAUGAAAUGCUCACUUACAGUUUGGGUCCUUUUCCACAGUCAAUUUCCAACUUUGAUGGCUCUCUGGUCAAAACCAACAAAGCUAAGCUGAUGCACAUCUUGCUAGAUCAGAUCAACCCGCCUGCAACAGUGAGUGACAUUCCUGAUGGCUCAGUUUGGAUUUGGGAUGCUAUGGCUCUGGUGCAACAACUAAAGCCACAGCCAACAUUUGGGUUGUAUGCUGAUCAUGUACUGAACACAUUAGUUCACUCAGCUAAGGCAACAAGGUCAACAGAGCUUCAUUUUGUAUGUGACACAUACAGCGACCUGAGCAUCAAAAAUGCUGAGCGUAGUCGGCGCGCAGAACAGGGCUACCAAAAAAUCAAAAUCUAUGGAGAUGACCAAAAAACCCCAAAGCAGUGGAAAAAAUUUCUGGCAUGUGGCCAAAAUAAAGAAAACUUACUGGAGUAUUUCUUCCAACAUUGGAGCUUAACUGCAAAGAAUAUAAUUGGCAAUAUAACCAUCAUUGUUGCACAUGGAAGCAAGUGUGACGCCAUUAAGAUGAAUGUGAGCAAUACUGACCUUGAGAUACUGGAACUCAAAGACCUAGAGACAAGUCAAGAGGAGGCAGACACCAGAAUGAUUCUGCAUGCAGCCCAUGCAGCCAAACACAGCCAUGACCUGGUAAUCAAGAGCCCAGACACCGAUGUAUUUGUGCUGGCUCUAGCUUUCUGCAGCCACAUUGAUGGCCACCUCCAUUUCCAUACAGCCAAGGGGAGAGACACACACAUUACUGAUAUUACCAAGCUACAUGCCCAUCUUGGCGAAGACAAAUGUGAUGCCCUUGUAGGUCUGCAUGCCUUUUCUGGAUGUGACACAGUGAGCGCUCUGCAUAAGGUUGGAAAAGAAAAAGCAUACAAAAAACUAAGUUCAAAAACAGAAUACAUCACCAUGUUUAGAGAACUAGGAACAAGUUUCACCCCAUCACCAGAACUAUUUGAGGCUCUGGAAGCUUACACGUGUGAUCUAUAUGAUCAGAAGGACUGCCAAGAUGUCAAUAUUGCAAGGGCCAACCUGUUCAAAUCAGGUAAAUGUUCUGAGAGAGACUUGCCUCCAAACAAAGACUCCUUGCAUAAACACAUCCAGCGGGCAAGCUAUCAGGCUGCAGUACACAGGAGGUGUCUUGAGUGCAUGCCAGACAUUCCUCCUCCUGUAAAUCAUGGCUGGAAGAUGGUAGGAGAUUUCUACGGAGUAGACUGGAUGACUCUUCCGCCAGCUCCAGAGGCCAUACUGGAACUUGUGCACUGCUCAUGUAAAAAAACUAAUUGUGUUAAAGGUAGAUGCACAUGUAAACUGCAUGAGCUGCCAUGUACAAACCUCUGUCAGUGUUUAAACUGUGACAAUAAGUCACUUGAAGAUGACUUGGGCACAUGUGUGUAUGCAUGUACACAUGUGGGGAGAUGUGUGUUUGCUACUCUUGCAGAAGUAAAUCUGUAUGACAGGUUUAUGUACAUUAUAACUCUGCUUUGUUUGAUAGUCUUAUGUUUUUUUGAUAGUUAUACUUAUCUUGUUUGUUUUAAAAUUAAAAAUAAAUGCAGUUUAUGUUCUUUGAUAGUGAUAAUCUUAUUUCUAAUACAUACAGUUCUAACUAACGUUAGAGUUCUUAGCUCUCCGGUUUGA